Molecule: ribosomal RNA, 500 nt
Filed under: uncultured bacterium
Lineage: Bacteria
Description: partial 16S ribosomal RNA
Rfam family: Bacterial small subunit ribosomal RNA
Source: RNAcentral
GACGAACGCUGGCGGCGUGCUUAACACAUGCAAGUCGAACGGGCCCGCUCUCUUUUUUGGGGGUGGGUUGAGUGGCGAACGGGUGAGUAUCACGUGAGUAACCUGCCCCCUGCUCCUGGAUAACUGCUUGAAAGGGCGGCUAAUACGGGGUGUGCCGGCUGGUCCGCAUGGGCCUGGUCGGGAUAGUUUCAUCUUCGGGUGUUUCGGUGGGGGAUGGGCUCGCGGCCUAUCAGCUUGUUGGUGGGGUGAUGGCCCACCAAGGCGGUGACGGGUAGCCGGCCGGAGAGGGUGGGCGGCCACACUGGGACGGAGACACGGCCCAGACUCCUGCGGGAGGCAGCAGUGGGGGGUAGUGCACAAGGGGCGGAAGCCUGAUGCAGCGACGGCGCGUGAGGGAGGGAGGCCGUCGGGUUGUGAACCUCUUUCGCCGGUGGUGAAGGCCCUGUCCGUUGCGGCGGGGUGGACGGUAGCCGGGUAUGAAGCGCCGGCUAACUACGUGC